GAGAAGCAGUUCAGGGGUUCUGUGCCCAAGGCCAGCAGGAAGACAUCUGAGAAACAGUUGGAAGGACCAUGACAAUAGCCACCGGCUAGGCGUGUUGAAGGUUGGAAGAUUUCAUGUGCUCACAGUGCUCGGCACAGUCCCUGGCACGGAAGCGUCAUGUAGACAUUGAUCCAGCGAGACUCUCCCCUCUGCUCCUACUCAGGAAAUCUCCUAUUAAGUCUAACAUGCAUGUGCCUCACUUCCACUCCUCUUCCUGUAUAAUCCAUGUUCUACAGUGCAA
Long non-coding RNA from Phodopus roborovskii (desert hamster), 280 nucleotides. RefSeq lists it as uncharacterized. The transcript has 3 exons. NCBI's taxonomy places the organism in Eukaryota, Metazoa, Chordata, Mammalia, Rodentia, Cricetidae. The record is from RefSeq and is a predicted model, not a curated record.